RNAcentral lists this ribosomal RNA (253 nucleotides) under uncultured bacterium. Its description in RNAcentral is "partial 16S ribosomal RNA". It matches the Rfam family "Bacterial small subunit ribosomal RNA", at positions 524 to 776 of the family's 1533-position model. The record is from RNAcentral.
UACGUAGGGUGCGAGCGUUAAUCGGAAUUACUGGGCGUAAAGCGUGCGCAGGCGGUUCGUUGUGUCUGAUGUGAAAGCCCCGGGCUUAACCUGGGAAUGGCAUUGGAAACUGGCGGGCUUGAGUAUGGCAGAGGGGGGUGGAAUUCCGCGUGUAGCAGUGAAAUGCGUAGAGAUGCGGAGGAACACCGAUGGCGAAGGCAGCCCCCUGGGCCAAUACUGACGCUCAGGCACGAAAGCGUGGGGAGCAAACAGG